GGGCACAUGGUCUAGGGGUAUGAUUUUCGCUUCGCAUGACACGCUCUUGCCACUUGUGAAAGGCCGGGGUUCGAAUCCCCUGUGUCCA
Non-coding RNA from Taxawa tesnikishii (nom. ined.), 88 nucleotides. NCBI's taxonomy places the organism in Eukaryota, Fungi, Ascomycota, Dothideomycetes, Dothideales. The record is from the annotation of a GenBank genome assembly.